UGGAGGCAUGGAACCCUGGCUGAGGUAUAUUCUGAUUCUUGCAGCAUUUUGUUAUGAAUGCAGAGGAGAAGACUCAGUCACUCAGCCAACAGGAGAUGUGAUCACUACUGAGGGAGGACAGGUCAAACUGGGCUGUACAUUUAAUACAGUUAAUGCUAACAAUGCUUACCUUUUUUGGUACAAGUACGAACCAAAUGGAUUCCCAAAAGUCAUAUUAAGCCGUUUUCCCUUUGGAAGUACAAAUACUACUGAGUUCAAGGAGAGAUUUGAUGCUCAUCUUGAUUCACACUCCAAAUCAGUUCCAUUAACGAUCCAGGAGCUGCAGCUGUCUGACUUUGCUGGGUACUACUGUGCUCUGAGAGCAAAUGACUACCCAAAGUACAUGCUUAGGCGAUUCAAAGCUGGAACGGGGGACAAUGCCACUGAGUUCAAAGAUAGAUUUCAUGCCCAUUUGAACAUCACUACAAAGUCAGUCCCUUUGAGGAUCCAGAGUCUGCAGCUGUCUGACUCUGCUGUGUACUACUGUGCUCUGAGGCCCACUGUGACAACAAAGGACAUGAGUCCUUGGACCACACCUCAGGACUACCUGGCCUGA
Non-coding RNA from Esox lucius (northern pike), 595 nucleotides. NCBI's taxonomy places the organism in Eukaryota, Metazoa, Chordata, Actinopteri, Esociformes, Esocidae. The record is from the annotation of a RefSeq genome assembly.